GGGGAUGUAGCUCAAAUGGUAGAGCGCUCGCAUUGCAUGCGAGAGGCAAGGGGUUCGAUCCCCCGUCUCCA
Molecule: transfer RNA, 71 nt
Filed under: Erythranthe guttata (spotted monkey flower)
Lineage: Eukaryota; Viridiplantae; Streptophyta; Magnoliopsida; Lamiales; Phrymaceae
Description: Mimulus guttatus (spotted monkey flower) tRNA
Rfam family: tRNA
About the family: Transfer RNA (tRNA) molecules are approximately 80 nucleotides in length.
Source: Rfam by way of RNAcentral